Long non-coding RNA from Bombyx mori (domestic silkworm), 1654 nucleotides. RefSeq lists it as uncharacterized. Lineage: Eukaryota; Metazoa; Arthropoda; Insecta; Lepidoptera; Bombycidae. The record is from RefSeq and is a predicted model, not a curated record. The transcript is spliced from 2 exons.
AUAUUUUGUUUCUUUGGAGCAAAACAAAUGCGGCGGAAUUAUUGUACCAGGAGCGCAGACAUUGGCGGCGGUCGCAAAGAAUGUCGUACGAGAAUUUAUGUGAGCGCGCGCGACCGAUGACAGCGCUACAGCGGCCACUUCCCUACGCGUUAUGCGCCCCUAGUACUUGUUGGUGUUCAUAGGCAUGGUGACGAUGCAGUACCAGGCGCAGAGGACAUGGUGGAGCUGAUAGAGCGGCUAGAGCGGGCCUGCAUACGCUUCGUCCACUUCAGCAAGGAGAACGAGCUCCGGUCGAGGGUCUUCAGCGAAAAGAUGGCCUUGGGUCCAUGAGCGACGGUAACCACUCACCAUCAGGUGGGCCGUAUGCUCGUCUGCCUAUGCGGCAAUAUAUAUUUAUAUAUAAUUUAAUAGUGUGUAAAGAAUUUGCAUGAUAUUUAUAGCGGACUUGUAAGUACAUUCAGUAUACACAGAUUUUCAAAUGCAUCUCAAAACUGAACAAUACGUUCUCAUAAGUUCGAUCUCAUAAUUCGCAUCAGUAGCUACUUAAAUAUCAAAUAAAGGGAAAAGCCGCCUUUACCGAGCGAGUCGGGUCGAAAAUAGUGAAAUAACAGCGACGUAAGCCCUUAAAUCUGUGCACACGUCAUUUGUUUAUUAAGGGCUUUGCCGCGCGCCCUUUUAGCAUAAAUACUGGAUUGCACAGGAACACUAACUGGGUAUAUUUAUUUUUGUAUUAGCAUUGCGAAUACAUUUCUUAAGUUCAUGGAAAAAAUAUACUGCUCUGUUAAAAUUAAUGUUAAACAUAAAUAAGAUAUUACAAUUGAAAAGCAAUCGUUUCAAGUUUAGGUUAACCUAAAUCUUAACACUCAUCGGCAAUCACUCAAGAUGUCCGACAUUUUAUCGGAUUUCGAAUAUGGCAGCUACUGGGUACGGCCGUUUUAAAUGAUAAAUCACUGGCUGCGUCACUGGACUCGUCAAAAUGAACUUAUUUGUCAAACUUAGAUCAUUGUCAAGCGAUAAAGUGUACAGGAAAUUGAAAUUUGUAUCACGGGACGAAAAUCGGGUCCGUCCGCCAUCUUGGAUGCUAAUCGUCACGACUUGUAAUUUAAAUGUGGAAGGACUUUAUUUGUAUAAAAAAAGCAAAUUGAAAAUUUAGAGUUACGUAGAAUUUUACGAAAAAAAAUCUUUUUUAUGCCUGGUUUUCACAAAAAACGUAUUUCCUGGCUUGUGAGCAUUUUAUUUUAUUGUUUUAUUUUAUUAUUAUUAGAUUAAACAGACAAAUUAGCAAAGGAGCUCUUUAAUAAUGUUCCUCAUACAUUUAGCAAUUACUUUUUAUUUAUACAGAUACAUUGUUUACUUACUGUAUGACAAUGCGCCAGCGCGUUGUUUGCAUUCAUUAUAAUAAUACAUAGUAGCAUGGUACUUAAACCAGCGAAGAAGAUUAAAAAGAGGCUGCACCUCGAAUUCGUUCUUGUUCAAUCAAAAUAUGAACAUUAGAAUUUUAUUGUAAUAUUGUAAUGGUAACACCUAAGUUCUAACUAAGUUGCUAAUUUUAAGAUUUGCUCAUGGCAACCCUCUCUUCCGUUCUAGCCUUUUAGCCCCGUGCAUGGCAAGUUGUAAUUAAAUUAUAAUAAAUGCGUAUGUUCAUUUUGCAAAA